Molecule: ribosomal RNA, 1363 nt
Filed under: Gonyaulax membranacea
Lineage: Eukaryota; Dinophyceae; Gonyaulacales; Gonyaulacaceae
Description: LSU rRNA
Rfam family: Eukaryotic large subunit ribosomal RNA
Source: RNAcentral
AGGAUUCCUUUAGUAAUGGCGAAUGAACAAGGAACAGCUCAAAUUGACAGUNUGAACCCAAGGUUUCGACUUGCGUGUUCUAAUUGCGUUGCCAAUGCAAGUGUGCAUGUAAGGCUUUUGGGAAAAAGCGGGAAUGAAGGUGAAACUCCUGCGCGGCAUGUGCAAUCUUUCAUGCAAGGCGUGCUCUUAAGAGUCGCGUUCCUUGGCAUUGAAGCGCAAAACGGGUGGUAAACUUCAUCCAAAGCUAAAUAUUGGGUUGAGACCGAUAGCAAACAAGUACCAUGAGGGAAUUGUGAAAAGGACUUUGGAAAGAAAGUUAGAAGUACCUGAAAUUGCUGAAAUCAAAGCAAAUGGCAUGUCUGAAGUCAAGCAAGAUUGCGGUGCGCAGCUUUCAGUCAGCUGGUGUGUAUGCUUAAGCAUCCUAGGCUGUUUCCGCGUACAGUGCGUCUUGCUUUGUAUGUCAAAACCAAGCUGCGGUGCCAAUGUUAUGAGCAUGAGGUAACUACCAUCGCUUGGUGUGAUCAUGCCCACAUCUGGCAUUUGGUUUGGUUGUUGUUGCCAGGUGGUGUGCUACGUGGAAGGCUUAUGCUUUUGGGGUGCGCUUGGCAUUUUCAUUGACCUGACGUUUCAUUUGACCCGUCUUGAAACAGGGACCAAGGAGUCUAAUGCAUGUGCAAGUUUGUGGGUUUACAAUUUGGGGCAUAAUGAAAAUGACAGUCGGGAUGUGUGCACCGACAACCGACCAAUCAAUUGUGAGAGGUUUGAGUUUGAGCAUGUUGAUUAGGACCCGAAAGAUGGUGAACUAUGCUUGAGAAGAAUAAAUUCAGGGGAAACUCUGAUGGAGGCUUGCAGCGGUACUGACGUGCAAAUCGUUCGUCACACUUGGGUAUAGGGGCGAAAGACUAAUCGAACCAUCUAGUAGCUGGUUCCCUCCGAAGUUUCCCUCAGGAUAGCUGGAGCUGCAGAGUUUCAUCAGGUAAAGCGAAUGAUUAGAGGAAUUGGGGGCGCGUUGUCCUCGACCUAUUCUCAAACUUUAAAUGGGUAAGUUCCAAUGGUUGUUUUGUAAACUUUUGGGGAAAUGGAAAAUCUAUGUGGGCCAUUUUUGGUAAGCAGAAUUGGCGAUGAGGGAUGAACCUAACGUUGGGAUAAGGUGCUUUACUGCUCGCUCAUCAGAUACCAUAAAAGGUGUUGGUUCAUUUAAACAGCAGGACGGUGGUCAUGGAAGUCGAAAUCCGCUAAGGAGUGUGUAACAACUCACCUGCCGAAUGGACUAGCCCUGAAAAUGGAUGGCGCUCAAGCGGGUGACCAAUACCUAACCGCUGUGGAACAGUUUAUCAACAGUGAGUAGGGGGGUUCAAUAGCU